ACUCAAAUGAAUUGACGGGGGCUCACACAAGCGGUGGAGCAUGUGGCUUAAUUCGAGGCUACGCGAAGAACCUUAUCCCGGGCUUGACAUGUCCGAAAGGGGUAGGAAGUACCCUGCGGAAACGUAAGGGGAACGGUAUCCAGCCCGGAACCUACCACAGGUGCUGCAUGGCUGUCGUCAGCUCGUGUCGUGAGAUGUUGGGUUAAGUCCCGUAACGAGCGAAACCCUUGCCUCCAGUUGCCAGCGGGUAAAGCCGGGGACUCUGGAGGGACUGCCGGUGUUAAACCGGAGGAAGGCGGGGAUGACGUCAAGUCCUCAUGGCCUUUAUGCCCGGGGCUGCACACGUGCUACAAUGGCGUGGACAAAGGGAAGCCAACCCGCGAGGGGGAGCCAAUCCCAGAAAGCACGCCCCAGUUCAGAUCGCGGGCUGCAACCCGCCCGCGUGAAGCCGGAAUCGCUAGUAAUCGCGGGUCAGCAACACCGCGGUGAAUGUGUUCCUGAGCCUUGCACACACCGCCCGU
This 521-nucleotide ribosomal RNA is filed under the name uncultured bacterium. RNAcentral describes it as "partial 16S ribosomal RNA". It matches the Rfam family "Bacterial small subunit ribosomal RNA", at positions 899 to 1397 of the family's 1533-position model. The record is from RNAcentral.